Molecule: ribosomal RNA, 404 nt
Filed under: uncultured bacterium
Lineage: Bacteria
Description: bacterial SSU rRNA
Rfam family: Bacterial small subunit ribosomal RNA
Source: RNAcentral
UGAGGAAUAUUGGACAAUGGGGGCAACCCUGAUCCAGCCAUGCCGCGUGAGUGAAGAAGGCCUUAGGGUUGUAAAGCUCUUUCGGCUGUGAAGAUAAUGACAGUAGCAGCAGAAGAAGCUCCGGCUAAAUUCGUGCCAGCAGCCGCGGUAAUACGAAUGGAGCGAGCGUUGUUCGGAAUCACUGGGCGUAAAGCGUACGUAGGCGGAUUGGAAAGUCAGAAGUGAAAUCCCGGGGCUUAACCCCGGAAUUGCUUUUGAAACUUCCAGUCUAGAGGCUCGGAGAGGUCAGCGGAAUUCCCAGUGUAGAGGUGAAAUUCGCAGAUAUUGGGAGGAACACCAGUUGCGUAGGCGGCUGGCUGGACGAGUACUGACGCUGAGGUACGAAAGCGUGGGGAUCAAACAGG